This 949-nucleotide long non-coding RNA is filed under the name Brassica rapa (field mustard). RNAcentral's name for it is "long non-coding RNA (BRAP_LNC000980)". Lineage: Eukaryota; Viridiplantae; Streptophyta; Magnoliopsida; Brassicales; Brassicaceae. The record is from RNAcentral.
ACUGCAAAUUUUGCUUUUUAAAAAAAAAUUCUGUAAUUAUUUUUAUGUUAAGAAUAUUGAAGUCCCAGAACACUUCUGAUUAUUGGAAACUACUUGACCUUUGCUGUGCCUUGGUAGCCUCUCCUCGCCCAUUGGACCUUAGCUUCUUUCAGUUGUUUUUGUUUGUUCUUUUCUCUCUUUAAUUAUUUUUUCUGACCACCAAACUGCUUUUUCAUUUCAUGUCUAAUCAAAUAAUUCGAAUCUCUUUCCCCAUUGUGUGAAUAAUUGACAUCCGCCGUUCCCUUCUACGUCCAAACACAACUCCGACCUAACUAAUUGUUUUCUUCUACAGCAGAUACGAAAAUGGUCAGCAUGUUAUUUCUUUUUUUUUUUUUUUUUUUUUUUUUUGAUAAAAGAUUUUCUAAUGUUAUUUCUUUUUGCAUCCACAAUCAAUUACAUAACCCUUUCUUAAAAAACUAUCCGCUAUUUAUAGUUCUACCAGUUAAUCCUUUGUCAUCCAGAUAUUAUGUUUUGAUUUAUACGGAUUUAUAUAAUUCAGAUAAUGAAAAGUGUUAAAGCGGAUAUUAUACAGUGUACACGAACAUUUGGACGGAUUUUAAGUAUGGACGAUAUUCAAAACCUAAGUUAUUAAUAUUAUUAUAAAUUUUAUUAGUAUUAUUAAUUAUAUUAAUUAUUGUUUAUUUUAUGUAUUUAUAUGAUUAUAGCUAGUAGUUUGAUUGUUUGCAAAGUAAUUUAAACUUAUAAAUUCAUCAUCUUAAUAUAUAUUUUAUAUCAUUUGAAACUAUUUAUAUAUAUUAAACUAUAUUUUAUACAUAAAAGAUAUUUCUGAAAUAUAUUUUUUCUCAAUUUUCUAAAACUAAUGUGUAUAUAUAUUAUAUAUAUAUUUUAAAUAAAAUUAUAUCUGUCUAAAUCUUUUUUAAACAUUCACAUAUAUUGUUAAGUAUCAAAA